AUCAUCUUCAACUCUUGCCUUGGUAAAUGCAAAUAUUCUUGGAGUAGAUUGGCCCAAGCCAUGUAUAUUAACAAAUAGAAUAAACUCAAAUCAAGAUUCAUCUCCACAUGAUUAAACUAUUGCAAAAUUAGAUUUAUUUAACAAUAACUUACCACCCACCAAUCAUAACUUCAAACAUUGUUGCAAAUUCUAGCUAGCUAUAUCUCUGUGUAAUUAUGAAUAAAUCAACCCUCUCUUUUAUUAGCUCCUUAGCUAUGGGCAAUCUUUUUUUCCUGGUAUGAAAAAAGUAACUUCUAUUAUCAAAUGAGAAAAACAUUAUAGAAAAACAUAUUAAAAUAAAUAGCUCCAAAUCCCAUAUUUUUUCGAAAUUCACUCUUAUGUAAUUGAUCCUAUGCCACCUUGAGGGGUGCGGAGUAAGCAUGCAACGCCCUCGGUUCGAUCGCCUACAAACACCAAUAAUGUUUGAAUUGGGCUAUAGUCUGCAAUCAUAAAUACGUAUGUUAUUAAUUGGAGGUGCAAAGAUAUGAAAAAUAAGAACAUCCUACAAAUGAUAUUUCAUCUGCUUGUUCAGCAAUAUUUCCAACAUGACAUAUUUUCUUGGAUUUUUCAAAGAGCUUAGCUGAUCUUGGAUUCAAACACAAAUGUUGCCAGUAAUGCGAGAAAUUUGUCAACUAAUGUAAGAAAAUACAUACUCAAGUAAAUCAGAAAUACAAACUAAGAUAAUGGCUUCACAAAUAUGAUCUAAGAAUUGACAAAUAUGAUGUUGAAUGUGAGAACUUUAGUGUCAAAAAUUGAAAAUCAGAAAGACCUCAAUCCAUGAUGUGUAUAAAUACCUUUAUUUACACUUUCAGAACAUAUGACAGCUUAACUUGCCACAUAUAGAAUGAAAAUUUUGAUAAAUAAUCAAAAAAAUAUGUUAUGGGAUUGUAUCAAUUACAUCAAAUUGUUUAGACAAACUGAAUAAGAAAAACCAUCAGAUUCAACAAAAUAAAAGAUGAUUAUGUGUUGGAAAAUAUUAACACCAGUUCACUUGGAAGAUAUAACUUACGACAAUUGAUAUCUUUAUCAAUGGUCUUCCACUUCAAUCCCCUAUGCUCCACUCUUGUAAAGAUAUGUAAAUCGCCAUCUGUACAGAUUUCAAUUGACCAUAAAAUAGUAGUUCCAAAUUCUCAUAGGUAAACAUUACACCACACAUUUCACAUUAAAAAAUUAAUUCUGAAUGCUUUAGCAGGCAUGAUAAAUUGCAAUUGUUUCGACCGAAAUUCACAAGCAAAUAUACGAAGCCACAAUUAUAAAUCAAAUCGUAAGAUGUAAGAAAGCCAAGAAAGUCCUCUCCAUAUACAUGUAGCAGAAAUCAAAAUCUUAAUUCUAAAAACAAAUUGCGGGAUAUAAGCAUCGGUGUGCGAAAUUCUUCCAACCUCACCAAGGAACCCUUCCAACCAGAUUAGAACCAUCGAGAAUAGUCGUUAAACAGUGCUUCAAAUUCGAAAACAAUUGCAGAAAAAAUGAAUAGCAGUUGGAGAAUCGAUAUGCUUAAGAGAAAUAGUAGUCGUUCCAAAGCGUGAUGGAUGAAAGAACCACAGAGUUCCUCACAGAAUGAAAUUGGAAAAAACAUGGUUUACAAAGGGGAGGAAUAACAGCACAAAGACAGGAGCCGCACACUAUAAUAAACAGAUAGUGAAUAUGGUUUGCCUAACCAUUUUCUUCCAUAUCCAUAUUCUUUAUCUUCUUACGAUUUAGAAUCUUGACAACAACUUUGUGCCCUGUGCAUGUUCAGCAAUUUUAACUUUGCCAAAUGAACCAAUCCCAAGAGUCUUCCCAAGUUUGUAGUUCCGUAAGAAAGAAUCCACAUUGUUGCCAUCUUGGUUUAAUCCAUCCAUAAUCCUAAAAUGACACAAUUUCAGAUAUUUGAAGCAGUGUGUAUAGAUAAAGCCAUGCAUACGACCUUAAUUCAUAAACCACGUCUCAAGAAAGCAACAACUAUGUUAAGAUUGAUAGCAGCAAGUAACUAUCCUUAAUAACAUUACUAUGGGCAAAGAAAUCAAGCAAAAUUGGCAAUAGAAAGAGACGUCACAAUAAACCAUUAAGUAAAUUCAUGUGUCCAGAAUCCAUCUCCUUGAUAGCAAAAAUUACAAAUUAUAAGCACAUAAGAAUCAAUCAUUAGAGGUAUAUAUGGACACUUCAAGGAGCAGAAUACAUAUGUAAAAUACUAUUCUUUCAACUUUAUGUUCUAAAAUCAUUAAAACAUUAGUCCAACAGUUAUGUGUGAAGAGUGAAACACCACUAAAAAGAGCACUAAAAUAAAAGAGAUAAUAUAAUCCUUGAACCAUAGCUGCCACUGCACCAGAGAAAUACACGAACAUGGCACCCUUACAAUCGGCGAAUCCGCCACACAUGGAGGGCUGCAUCAGCCGAAGUUCUACGUUGCAGUAUUUCAAGAUGAUAAACAUUGAACCACCAUGUUUGAUGUUGGUUGUCUUCAAACCAAAAUCUGAUCUUGAUUUUAAAAACCCAAUUUCAAAAUUUCAAUUUAAAUUUUAAUUAACACACGAAAAUAUUGAAAUUGAAAUUAGUACCAGCACUUUUAGAAACACUUCUCUAAUUUCUGAUGCAGUGGCCCUCAAUGUCUGUACAGACACACACUCACAUGUGAAUUCAAAUAUGUUGAAUAAGAGAUUAAGAAUAGAAACAGAGAAAGAGAGCGAGCGAGAGAGAGAGAGAGAGAGAGAGAGAGAGAGAGAGAGGUUUGCUUUUACCAUUUUGGGCGACGUUGGUCUGAGGCGGCGGCGUUAGGGCAGCGACUGACGACCGAGAAAUGGCGACCGAGUUUUCGAUUGAGUUUGGUGAGCGAUGGAACAGCGAGGAGCGGUUACGGAAUCUGGAAAAAAGUUGACGAAAGGGGUUUCAGAAAUUGGGAAUUUUUCUUUAAAAUCAUGGGAGAAGAAUCAAAUCAUAAAGAAUAGAAACAGAGAGAGAGAGUAGAAGAAACUAAUUGGUUUUGCUUUUACCAUUUUGGGCAAUGUUGGUAUGAGGCGGUGGCGCUAGGGCGACAGUUGAAGAACCGAGAAACGACGGCCGAAUCUUCGAUUAAGUUUGGUGAGCAAUGGAUCGGCGAGAAGCGGUUAUGGAAUCCGAAAUAGAAGAGUUGAUGAAAAGAGUUUCAGAUGUUGAGUUGUGGGAGAAAAGAAUCCAAUCGUGCUUAAUAAGAAUUAGAGAGAACGUGUGAGAGAUAAAAUAUGGCGCUAAAAUUUUGCAGUUAAACUGGUGUUUUAUAUAAUAUAUAGAUGGUGGCAUAUCUAUUUUUUCUUCUAGAUUAACUCUUCAACAAGGGAUCUUUGUAAGUAGGGAGGUGGUCUUGCACAUAUGCUAGUUUUGUUCAAAUGUGUAUUUUCUUGCUAUGUGAUAGGCUAUGUUUAUCAACAACAAUCCAACCUUUUCAUAAGAAAUUCAUUUCUCCUAAAUAAAAAAAAUAACAAAUUCAUUUCUCCCUGUUUUUC
Molecule: long non-coding RNA, 3497 nt
Filed under: Salvia miltiorrhiza (redroot sage)
Lineage: Eukaryota; Viridiplantae; Streptophyta; Magnoliopsida; Lamiales; Lamiaceae
Description: long non-coding RNA (SMIL_LNC006722)
Source: RNAcentral